Molecule: non-coding RNA, 76 nt
Filed under: bovine gut metagenome
Source: RNAcentral
UGUCUAGGGGUGGCCCUUGAGGCCUGAGAACAUACCCUCGAACCUGAUCCGGGUAAUGCCGGCGUAGGAACGACGU